CCUACGGGAGGCAGCAGUGGGGAAUAUUGGUCAAUGGACGAGAGUCUGAAGCAGCGAAGUAGCGUGAAGGAUGACUGCCCUAUGGGUUGUAAACUUCUUUUAUAUGGGAAUAAAAUGUUGCACGUGUGGGAUUUUGUAUGUCCCAUAUGAAUAAGGCUCGGCUGACUCCGUGCCAGCAGCCGCGGUAAUACGGAGGUGCCGAGCGUUAUGCGGAUUUAGUGGGUGUAAAUGGAGCGUAGAUGGAGGGGUAAGUCAGUUGUGAAAGUUGGCGGCUCAACCGUAAAAUUGCAGUUGAAACUGGCAGUCUUGAGUGCAGGAGAGGUGAGCGGAAUUCGUGGUGUAGCGGUGAAAUGCUUAGAUAUCACGAAGAACUCCGAUGGCGAAGGCAGUUCACUGGACUGCAACUGACACUGAGGCUCGAAAGUGUGGGUAGCAAACAGGAUUAGAUACCCGAGUAGUC
This 460-nucleotide ribosomal RNA is filed under the name uncultured bacterium. RNAcentral describes it as "partial 16S ribosomal RNA". It matches the Rfam family "Bacterial small subunit ribosomal RNA", at positions 338 to 795 of the family's 1533-position model. The record is from RNAcentral.